This 82-nucleotide non-coding RNA is filed under the name uncultured eukaryote. The record is from RNAcentral.
AAAAUAAUAGUAAUAAUAGUGAAGGAGAAGAAUGUAUCAAAGUAUGAUUAAAUGUACAUCGCAUUUUUUUCUUUUUCUUUUU